CCUACGGGAGGCAGCAGUGAGGAAUAUUGGUCAAUGGACGCAAGUCUGAACCAGCCAAGCCGCGUGAAGGAAGACGGCCCUAUGAGUUGUAAACUUCUUUUGUACGGGAGUAAACGCAGCUACGCGUAGCUGUCUGUAUGUAUCGUACGAAUAAGGAUCGGCUAACUCCGUGCCAGCAGCCGCGGUAAUACGGAGGAUCCGAGCGUUAUCCGGAUUUAUUGGGGUUAAAGGGUGCGUAGGCGGUCGGAGAAGUUAGAGGGGAAAGCCCGCGGCUCAACCUCGUAAGUGCCUUUGAAACUGUUUGUCUUGAGAGUAGUAGAGGUAGGCGGAAUGCAUGGUGUAGCGGUGAAAUGCUUAGAGAUCAUGCAGAACACCGAUUGCGAAGGCAGCUUACCGGGCUACAACUGACGCUGAGGCACGAAAGCGUGGGGAGCAAACAGGAUUAGAUACCCUGGUAGUC
Molecule: ribosomal RNA, 460 nt
Filed under: uncultured bacterium
Lineage: Bacteria
Description: partial 16S ribosomal RNA
Rfam family: Bacterial small subunit ribosomal RNA
Source: RNAcentral